CAGCAGCAGCCGCGGUAAUACGAAGGGGGCUAGCGUUACUCGGAAUUACUGGGCGUAAAGCGUGCGUAGGUGGUUGUUUAAGUCUGCUGUGAAAGCCCUGGGCUCAACCUGGGAAUUGCAGUGGAUACUGGGUCACUAGAGUGUGGUAGAGGAUAGUGGAAUUUCCGGUGUAGCAGUGAAAUGCGUAGAGAUCGGAAGGAACAUCUGUGGCGAAGGCGACUAUCUGGGCCAACACUGACACUGAGGCACGAAAGCGUGGGGAGCAAACAGGAUUAGAUACCCGGGUAGUCCCUGUCUCUUAUAC
Molecule: ribosomal RNA, 304 nt
Filed under: uncultured bacterium
Lineage: Bacteria
Description: partial 16S ribosomal RNA
Rfam family: Bacterial small subunit ribosomal RNA
Source: RNAcentral